ACGGAAGGCAGCAGUGGGGAAUAUUGCACAAUGGGGGAAACCCUGAUGCAGCAACGCCGCGUGAGUGAUGAAGUAUUUCGGUAUGUAAAGCUCUAUCAGCAGGGAAGAUAAUGACGGUACCUGACUAAGAAGCUCCGGCUAAAUACGUGCCAGCAGCCGCGGUAAUACGUAUGGAGCACGCGUUAUCCGGAUUUACUGGGUGUAAAGGGUGCGUAGGCGGUAUGGCAAGUCAGAUGUGAAAGACCGGGGCUCAACUCCGGGGCUGCAUUUGAAACUGCCAGACUGGAGUACAGGAGAGGCAGGCGGAAUUCCUAGUGUAGCGGUGAAAUGCGUAGAUAUUAGGAGGAACACCAGUGGCGAAGGCGGCCUGCUGGACUGUUACUGACGCUGAGGCACGAAAGCGUGGGGAGCGAACAGGAUUAGAUACCCUGGUA
RNAcentral lists this ribosomal RNA (434 nucleotides) under uncultured Lachnospiraceae bacterium. Its description in RNAcentral is "bacterial SSU rRNA". It matches the Rfam family "Bacterial small subunit ribosomal RNA", at positions 341 to 792 of the family's 1533-position model. The record is from RNAcentral. Lineage: Bacteria; Bacillati; Bacillota; Clostridia; Lachnospirales; Lachnospiraceae.